GCAUAUCAAUAAGCGGAGGAAAAGAAACCAACAGGGAUUGCCUCAGUAACGGCGUAAGUGAAGCGGCAAAAGCUCAAAUUUUAAAGCUGGCACCUCCGGUGUCCGCGUUGUAAUUUUGUGAGGCAUCUCCGGGUGGGGCGCCGGCCUAAGUUCCUUGGAACAGGACGUCAUAGAGGGUGAGAAUCCCGUGCUUGGCUGGCUGUCCCCGUCCAUGUGAGGUGUCUUCGACGAGUCGAGUUGUUUGGGAAUGCAGCUCAAAAUGGGUGGUAAAUUUCAUCUAAAGCUAAAUAUUGGUGGGAGACCGAUAGCGCACAAGUAGAGUGAUCGAAAGAUGAAAAGCACUUUGAAAAUAGAGUUAAAAAGUACGUGAAAUUGUUGAAAGGGAAGCGCUUGAGACCAGACUUCGGUGGGGAGUGAUCAGCCGUCCUUCUGGGCGGUGCACUUGCCCCCCUCCGGGCCAGCAUCGGUUGGGACGGCGGGAUAAAGGUCCCGGGAAUGUGGCUCCUCUCGGGGAGUGUUAUAGCCCGGGUGAAUGCCGCCAGCCCCGACCGAGGACCGCGCCUUCGGGCUAGGAUGCUUGGCAUAAUGGUCUUCAGCGACCCGUCUUGAAACACGGACCAAGGAGUCUAACAUCUAUGCGAGUGUUUGGGUGUCAAACCCUUGCGCGAAAUGAAAGUGAACGGAGGUGGGAACCCGCAAGGGCGCACCAUCGACCGGUCCCGAAGUCUUCUGAAGGAUCUGAGUAGGAGCAUAGCUGUUGGGACCCGAAAGAUGGUGAACUAUGCCUGAAUAGGGUGAAGCCAGAGGAAACUCUGGUGGAGGCUCGCAGCGGUUCUGACGUGCAAAUCGAUCGUCAAAUUUGGGUAUAGGGGGCGAAAGACUAAUCGAACCAUCUAGUAGCUGGGUUCCUGCCGAA
RNAcentral lists this ribosomal RNA (916 nucleotides) under Morchella deliciosa. RNAcentral describes it as "LSU rRNA". It matches the Rfam family "Eukaryotic large subunit ribosomal RNA", at positions 38 to 965 of the family's 3401-position model. The record is from RNAcentral. Lineage: Eukaryota; Fungi; Ascomycota; Pezizomycetes; Pezizales; Morchellaceae.